This 497-nucleotide ribosomal RNA is filed under the name uncultured bacterium. RNAcentral describes it as "partial 16S ribosomal RNA". It matches the Rfam family "Bacterial small subunit ribosomal RNA", at positions 28 to 507 of the family's 1533-position model. The record is from RNAcentral.
GAUGAACGCUGGCGGCGUGCCUAAUACAUGCAAGUCGAGCGAACAGAUAAGGAGCUUGCUCCUUUGACGUUAGCGGCGGACGGGUGAGUAACACGUGGGUAACCUAUCUAUAAGACUGGAAUAACUCCGGGAAACCGGGGCUAAUGCCGGAUAACAUGUUGAACCGCAUGGUUCUACAGUGAAAGGCGGCUUUGCUGUCACUUAUAGAUGGACCCGCGCCGUAUUAGCUAGUUGGUGAGGUAACGGCUCACCAAGGCAACGAUACGUAGCCGACCUGAGAGGGUGAUCGGCCACACUGGAACUGAGACACGGUCCAGACUCCUACGGGAGGCAGCAGUAGGGAAUCUUCCGCAAUGGGCGAAAGCCUGACGGAGCAACGCCGCGUGAGUGAUGAAGGUCUUCGGAUCGUAAAACUCUGUUAUUAGGGAAGAACAAAUGCGUAAGUAACUGUGCGCGUCUCGACGGUACCUAAUCAGAAAGCCACGGCUAACUACGUG